CGCAGCCGCGGUAAUUCCAGCUCCAAUAGCGUAUAUUAAAGUUGCUGCAGUUAAAAAAGCUCGUAGUUGAAUUUCGGGACCAUCAUGUCGGUCGUGCCUCGGUACGUACUGGCAUUGUUGGUUUCUCCCUUCUGAAGAACCUCGAUGUCAUUAAUUUGGUGUCGUGGGGAAUCAGGACUGUUACUUUGAAAAAAAUUAGAGUGUUUAAAGCAGGCAUACGCUUGAAUACAUUAGCAUGGAAUAAUGAAAUAGGACGUUUGAUUCUAUUUUGUUGGUUUCUAGGAUCGACGUAAUGAUUAAUAGGGAUAGUUGGGGGGCAUUAGUAUUCAAUUGUCAGAGGUGAAAUUCUUGGAUUUAUUGAAGACUAACUACUGCGAAAGCAUUUGCCAAGGAUGUUUUCAUUAAUCAAGAACGAAAGUUAGGGGAUCGAAGACGAUCAGAUACCGUCGUAGUCUUAACCAUAAACUAUGCCGACUAGGGAUCGGAUGAUGUUAAUUUUUAAUGACUCAUUCGGCGCCUU
This 520-nucleotide ribosomal RNA is filed under the name uncultured Glomus. Its description in RNAcentral is "SSU rRNA". It matches the Rfam family "Eukaryotic small subunit ribosomal RNA", at positions 569 to 1089 of the family's 1831-position model. The record is from RNAcentral. Lineage: Eukaryota; Fungi; Glomeromycota; Glomeromycetes; Glomerales; Glomeraceae.